Molecule: ribosomal RNA, 497 nt
Filed under: uncultured bacterium
Lineage: Bacteria
Description: partial 16S ribosomal RNA
Rfam family: Bacterial small subunit ribosomal RNA
Source: RNAcentral
GAUGAACGCUGGCGGCGUGCCUAAUACAUGCAAGUCGAGCGAACGGACGAGAAGCUUGCUUCUCUGAUGUUAGCGGCGGACGGGUGAGUAACACGUGGAUAACCUACCUAUAAGACUGGGAUAACUUCGGGAAACCGGAGCUAAUACCGGAUAAUAUUUUGAACCGCAUGGUUCAAAAGUGAAAGACGGUCUUGCUGUCACUUAUAGAUGGAUCCGCGCUGCAUUAGCUAGUUGGUAAGGUAACGGCUUACCAAGGCAACGAUGCAUAGCCGACCUGAGAGCAUGAUCGGCCACACUGGACCAGAGCCACGGUCCAGAUCCCUCCGGGAGGCAGCAGUAGAGCUCCUUCCUCAAUGGGCGAAAGCCUGACGGCGCAACGUCGCGUGACUGAUGAAGGUCUUCGGAGCGUAAAACUCUGUUAUUAGGGAAGUACACUUCUGUACGUAACUGUGCACAUCUUGCCGGUACCUAAUCAGAAAGCCACGGCUAACUACAUG